This 140-nucleotide ribosomal RNA is filed under the name uncultured bacterium. RNAcentral describes it as "partial 16S ribosomal RNA". The record is from RNAcentral.
CACGUAGUUGGCCGGUGCUUCUUCUGCAGGUACCGUCACUUGCGCUUCGUCCCUGCUGAAAGAGGUUUACAACCCGAAGGCCGUCGUCCCUCACGCGGCGUCGCUGCGUCAGGCUUUCGCCCAUUGCGCAAUAUUCCCCA